RNA transcript from Rhea pennata, 2071 nucleotides. It is a transcript of the gene named membrane-spanning 4-domains subfamily A member 12-like, with no coding region annotated. The transcript is spliced from 7 exons. The record is from RefSeq and is a predicted model, not a curated record. NCBI's taxonomy places the organism in Eukaryota, Metazoa, Chordata, Aves, Rheiformes, Rheidae.
GCUUGUGUGCCCCUGUCUGGGGAGUGAGUGGCCUUGGGGCAGCACAGUUCCCCUGUCCGCAGGGCCAGCCGACCCUGCGUGGAGUCCGCCCGGGGACGCUGCAAUCUCACUGCUUCUGACGCCACACUGAGCUGCGCCAAUCAGCGCUCGCCGGAGCGGGAUGUAGGGCAGCCCUGCUGCUCCUGAGCUGGCAGGGACUGGGGGCUGCGCCGGACAGGGGGGCUGGCCAGCUGCACCCAUGCAAGGAAUGGGGCCCUUGCGGCUGGGCGGCCGCUCGGUGAUGUACACGGCUGAGACCCUGCCCAAGGGCAAGAACCGAGUGAUGGGGACCAUUCAGAUUAUGACCGGCUUCAUGCACAUUGGCUUCGGGAUCGUCCUAACAACGCUUACCAAUGUCUACACCUCUGUCUUCAUCAUUGGCGAGAUCCCCUUUCUGGGUGGCGUGUCUGUGCGUGGUAGCGGGGCUGGCAGGGGGAACAUGCUCAUGGGGACCCUUGGUGCUCCUCAGGCCCUCCAGCCUGCUGGGAACUCGUUCAUCAUCUCGGGCUGCCUGUCCAUCGGAGCGGAGAAGAGCCCUACAGAGUGUGCGGUGAAGGGCAGCCAGACCAUGAAUGUCAUCAGUGCCAUCUUUGCACUGCUGGGAAUCGUUGCCUUCAUCAUUGACCUGAACCUGAACGGGCUUUACCGCUCUAGCUUUGACUACUACAGUUAUCUCAUCAUGCUCGCAGGGAAUGGGAUCUCCAUCGUGCUGCUCAUCUUCACCAUCCUGGAGUUCUGCAUCGCGGUUGCCACUGCCAAUUUCUGGUGCCGGGCCACUCGCCUCCACGCCAACGAGGCCAUGCUGAUUGUGCCCAGCACCAUCCAGGCAGACCUGGCUGUGCCCCCAGUGGAGCUGCCCCAGCCGCCCAGCUACACUGAGGUGAGCCGCGAGCCCAAGGAGCCCAGCUGCGGUGCAUGGGGCAAGCAGGUCCUAGGAACAGCAGCUGCCAUUUCCUUCUUACUGCAGCUGGUCGCCCCGGAUGUCUAGCCAGGUGAUACCACUUGAAGAUGUCCCUGGCGCAGAGCCCAAGAGCAGCACUGGGUUGCCUCCUCACAUCAGAUCAUGCCUCUGACCCACUGCCCCCACGGCUCCUGCCGCUGUGGCCGCUCCAGAUGCAGUGCCCUGGCAUGGGGCAAGGGCCGAAGGUCAUGGGCAUCCUCCUCUUGACACAUGGCUGGGCCCGUGACCUGGCCAACCCUUCUGUGGACAUCUGCUCCAUGGCGGCAAGCCCAGAAGCCUGCUGGGGAGAAGGGGUAACUCCCAGGAGUGAGAUGCCCACAAUACAUCCCACCAGGGGCCAAGAACAGCACACGGCACUGGUAAGAAAAGUAAAGACAGGGCAGCUGGCAGGUGAGCAGGCUCAUGCUCUUCGGGGUGGAAAAGACAGCUGGAAAGAAGGGCUAGGAGAGCAUGUGAUGCAGGCAAAGAUGAAAAGGAAAUGCUGCUUCCCUCUCUAUCUGGUAUGUAAGGAAGGUGAAGUGAAGCUAACUGGUUGGGAAAGGCCUGCAGGAGGGGGUUUUCUGCACCCUGCAAUCAGUGAAAUGGAGGACCAGAGCUGAAAAGGUUCAGAGACCAGCAAAGCAAUUUGGCAUGGAAGAGGGGAAUAAAACCCACUGCAGGCUACAGAGAGCCUGUUCGAAGCUGCAGCCAUGUUCCCCAUUUGCCCUGCUGCUGGUGCCAGGUGAGGGAAACUGUGCUGAGCAGCCAGCCAUGUGUCCUCUUCCUUGCAGCACCUGGGAUACCACAGCGGCGCUGGGGAUUGUGCCUGGAGAACCCUUUGCUGCUUUGCCUCCCUACACCGCUAAUCAGCCUAUGCUGGUGGGGCAGGGGGCCAUGCUGGGGGAGGGGGCAGCCCCAGCCCCACCAGUAUGUCUCUGAAAGUGGAGCUUGGUAUGCUGUGCAUAAGGGAGAGUGCCUGCCAACCCUUGCCCCUGUGCUGGGCUUGCAGCCACCCCCAGGCUUCCCUAUAUCCUUUCUCCUUCCUAGGGCCUCCAGGGCCUCCUUGGUCUGCUGCACUUUGGCUCUGGCAGC